CGGGACCUCAGGUCAGGCGGGGCUACCC
RNAcentral lists this ribosomal RNA (28 nucleotides) under Dermatophyllum arizonicum. Its description in RNAcentral is "partial large subunit ribosomal RNA". The record is from RNAcentral. Lineage: Eukaryota; Viridiplantae; Streptophyta; Magnoliopsida; Fabales; Fabaceae. RNAcentral also lists the same sequence under 14 other names.